GGUAGAUUAUUGUCUCAGAGUAA
Molecule: microRNA, 23 nt
Filed under: Schmidtea mediterranea
Lineage: Eukaryota; Metazoa; Platyhelminthes; Tricladida; Dugesiidae
Description: sme-miR-125b-3p
Gene: sme-miR-125b-3p
Source: miRBase by way of RNAcentral